Molecule: ribosomal RNA, 508 nt
Filed under: uncultured bacterium
Lineage: Bacteria
Description: partial 16S ribosomal RNA
Rfam family: Bacterial small subunit ribosomal RNA
Source: RNAcentral
GACGAACGCUGGCGGCGUGCCUAAUACAUGCAAGUCGAACGCUUCUUUCCUCCCGAGUGCUUGCACUCAAUUGGAAAGAGGAGUGGCGGACGGGUGAGUAACACGUGGGUAACCUACCCAUCAGAGGGGGAUAACACUUGGAAACAGGUGCUAAUACCGCAUAACAGUUUAUGCCGCAUGGCAUAAGAGUGAAAGGCGCUUUCGGGUGUCGUUGAUGGAUGGACCCGCGGUGCAUUAGCUAGUUGGUGAGGUAACGGCUCACCAAGGCCACGAUGCAUAGCCGACCUGAGAGGGUGAUCGGCCACACUGGGACUGAGACACGGCCCAGACUCCUACGGGAGGCAGCAGUAGGGAAUCUUCGGCAAUGGACGAAAGUCUGACCGAGCAACGCCGCGUGAGUGAAGAAGGUUUUCGGAUCGUAAAACUCUGUUGUUAGAGAAGAACAAGGACCUUAGUAACUGAACGUCCCCUGACGGUAUCUAACCAGAAAGCCACGGCUAACUACGUG